ACGAACGCUGGCGGCGUGCUUAACACAUGCAAGUCGAACGGAAAGGCCCUGCUUUUGUGGGGUGCUCGAGUGGCGAACGGGUGAGUAACACGUGAGUAACCUGCCCUUGACUUUGGGAUAACUUCAGGAAACUGGGGCUAAUACCGGAUAUGAGCUCCUGCUGCAUGGUGGGGGUUGGAAAGUUUCGGCGGUUGGGGAUGGACUCGCGGCUUAUCAGCUUGUUGGUGGGGUAGUGGCUUACCAAGGCUUUGCCUGGUAGCCGGCCUGGGAGGGUGACCGGCGACAUUGGGACUGAGAUACGGCCCAGACUCCUACGGGAGGCAGCAGGGGGGAAUAUUGCACAAUGGGCGGAAGCCUGAUGCAGCAACGCCGCGUGCGGGAUGACGGCCUUCGGGUUGUAAACCGCUUUCGCCUGUGACGAAGCGUGAGUGACGGUAAUGGGUAAAGAAGCACCGGCUAACUACGUG
RNAcentral lists this ribosomal RNA (467 nucleotides) under uncultured bacterium. Its description in RNAcentral is "partial 16S ribosomal RNA". It matches the Rfam family "Bacterial small subunit ribosomal RNA", at positions 29 to 507 of the family's 1533-position model. The record is from RNAcentral.